RNAcentral lists this ribosomal RNA (246 nucleotides) under uncultured bacterium. RNAcentral describes it as "partial 16S ribosomal RNA". It matches the Rfam family "Bacterial small subunit ribosomal RNA", at positions 524 to 769 of the family's 1533-position model. The record is from RNAcentral.
GACGUAGGGCGCGAGCGUUGUCCGGAUUUAUUGGGCGUAAAGAGCUCGUAGGCGGCUUGUCGCGUCGACUGUGAAAACCCGGGGCUCAACUCCGGGCCUGCAGUCGAUACGGGCUGGCUUGAGUGCGGUAGGGGAGACGUGGAAUUCCUGGUGUAGCGGUGAAAUGCGCAGAUAUCAGGAGGAACACCAAUAGCGAAGGCAGCUCGCUGGGACGUACUGACACUGAGGCGCGAAAGCGUGGGGAGC